RNAcentral lists this ribosomal RNA (253 nucleotides) under uncultured bacterium. RNAcentral describes it as "partial 16S ribosomal RNA". It matches the Rfam family "Bacterial small subunit ribosomal RNA", at positions 524 to 776 of the family's 1533-position model. The record is from RNAcentral.
UACGUAGGGUGCAAGCGUUGUCCGGAAUUAUUGGGCGUAAAGCGCACGUAGGCGGAUCUUUAAGUCAGGGGUGAAAUCCCGAGGCUCAACCUCGGAACUGCCUUUGAUACUGGGGAUCUCGAGUCCGGGAGAGGUGAGUGGAACUGCGAGUGUAGAGGUGAAAUUCGUAGAUAUUCGCAAGAACACCAGUGGCGAAGGCGGCUCACUGGCCCGGAACUGACGCUGAGGUGCGAAAGCGUGGGGAGCAAACAGG